GACGAACGCUGGCGGCGUGCUUAACACAUGCAAGUCGAACGGAAAGGCCCUGCUUUUGUGGGGUGCUCGAGUGGCGAACGGGUGAGUAACACGUGAGUAACCUGCCCUUGACUUUGGGAUAACUUCAGGAAACUGGGGCUAAUACCGGAUAGGAGCUCCUGCUGCAUGGUGGGGGUUGGAAAGUUUCGGCGGUUGGGGAUGGACUCGCGGCUUAUCAGCUUGUUGGUAGGGUAGUGGCUUACCAAGGCUUUGACGGGUAGCCGGCCUGAGAGGGUGACCGGCCUCAUUGGGACUGAGAUACAGCCCAGACUCCUACGGGAGGCAGCAGUGGGGAAUAUUGCACAAUGGGCGGAAGCCUGAUGCAGCAACGCCGCGUGCGGGAUGACGGCCUUCGGGUUGUAAACCGCUUUCGCCUGUGACGAAGCGUGAGUGACGGUAAUGGGUAAAGAAGCACCGGCUAACUACGUG
RNAcentral lists this ribosomal RNA (468 nucleotides) under uncultured bacterium. Its description in RNAcentral is "partial 16S ribosomal RNA". It matches the Rfam family "Bacterial small subunit ribosomal RNA", at positions 28 to 507 of the family's 1533-position model. The record is from RNAcentral.